Molecule: ribosomal RNA, 396 nt
Filed under: uncultured bacterium
Lineage: Bacteria
Description: bacterial SSU rRNA
Rfam family: Bacterial small subunit ribosomal RNA
Source: RNAcentral
AGUCAACGCUGGCGGCGUGCCUAACACAUGCAAGUCGAACGCGAAAGUCCCGCAAGGGAUUAGUAGAGUGGCAAACGGGUGAGUAACACGUGGGUGACCUGCCUUCGAGUGGGGGAUAACGUCCCGAAAGGGACGCUAAUACCGCAUGACAUCCUGUCUUUGAAAAGGUGGAGCUUAAAGCCGGGGAUCGCAAGACCUGGCGCUUGAAGAGGGGCCCGCGCCUGAUUAGCUAGUUGGGAGGUAACGGCUCACCAAGGCAUCGAUCAGUAUCCGGCCUGAGAGGGCGGACGGACACACUGGGACUGAGACACGGCCCAGACUCCUACGGGAGGCAGCAGUGGGGAAUUGUUCGCAAUGGGCGCAAGCCUGACGACGCAACGCCGCGUGGAGGAUGAA